AUUCCUCCCCCAACCAAAUCCCACCAACCCAUUUUUCCUGAACAAUCUUUCUUUCUGGUUCUCCCAUUCUCUUCUACUUCUUCAAAGAGGAGAGAAGAGAGAGAGAGAGGGAGAUACUGAAAGUAAAGCAACCAACCAGCAAUGGCGGCAGUAACCACCAUCUCCAACUUCGCCACCUUUCACUCUCAGUUUCCCCCUUCACCAACCAACCCCCACCAUUUCUCUUUAUCCCCAAAAAAACUUCACUCUCACCAUCGUCGCCCGCACUAACAUCACCGCAACUCCUUCCGUCCAACUCACCGCCUCUCGCUUCACCCGAUCCCACUUCGCCUCCGCCGCAUACGGCGGUGAACCCCCCGCAGGAGGAGCGGAGAUGGCGGAAGCGGAGGUAAUGAUAACAAUGACAGUGAUGGGAGUGGUGAUGGUGAUGAGGACCGGGAUCGGAACAAGGCGGAGGCCCUGGCGGCAAUGGUGGAGGCAGGGAGGUUGUCGGAGAGUCUGUCGAAGGACUUAGCGGCGGCCAUAAAGGCCGGACGGGUGCGGGGCUUGAUUGUGAAGAGGUUCUUUGAGCUGGAGAAGUCGGCGGUGUUCAGAUGGUUGCUUGGGUUUGAUGGGUUCAAGGAGCGGUUGCUUGCGGACGACUUGUUCUUGACCAAAGUUGGCAUCGAGUGCGGCGUUGGAAGGAAACUAUUGAAAAUGUCUUGAAAACUUUAAGUUUUAGGACAAAUUAAAGGAUAAAGUGAAUAGUAGUACCUGAAUUAACUUUUUAGUAUAAAAAUGUGGUUUUUCGUUAAAGUGAAUAGUACCAGAAACUUUUCGUUAAAGUUCCUUAUUCACUAAGGUCUCUGCUUUUCAUUUACUCUCUUCUUUUUAUUUAGGUAUAAUCUUUCUAAGGCUCGAUAUGAAAAACUUUUUAAAUGACUGAAAGUGUUUUUGAUGAGAGUGUUUUUAGAGUUAAUCUCGAUGAAAUUCGAUGAACAAUUUCGCUAAGUGUAGCAACGGUCUUCGUAAUAGAAAUUUGAUGAUCAAUUUGCAUGUGAUUAUUCUUGUGGACGCCAAAAAUAUAACGGUCAAAUUUCUUAAAUUUUUUAGAGGAAGAAAUCUUGACCGUAUUGUGGCAUCAACUGUUCUUAUUUGGCGCCUCAACAUGAGAGUAACUUUUAUAUAGAACGAGUUCAUCGCCACAUGACAUUCUGGCCCAAUAAUACAUUGUUAUGUGGAGAAAAACUUGCACAUGACAAUGGAUUAUUGGACAAGGGACGCCACGUGCACAUGUUCCAUGUAAGUCAUUCGCUGCCAACAGAGUUGGCGUCCCUAUUAUGCAUUGGAUAUCCUUGACUUUUGAAUUGAAGUACCAUUUGAAGUAUCUCUUAGUAUGGAUGUAAAUUUGAGUGUAAUAACAAUAUACUCAUUAGUUCAAUGUCAGUGUGCCACUUAGUACUAUAGUCUUAAGUUCGAUUCUCGCAAUAGGCUUAGCCUUACAAUGGGCUAACAAUUAUGUGGUUUAAAUUUGCCUUUAGCGAGAAUCGAACCUAAGACCUCUCAUUUACAAGUGAAAAUGAAUAUCACUAGACCGUAGUACUAAGUGGCUAAAAAUGUGUUUGCAAUCUCAUCUAAUAGAAUGAUUUUUAACUCAUGAUUGUACUAUUAAACAAAAGAGUGUCAUAUUAAACUCAUGAGUAUGAUAUUAAUAUAUUAAACUUAUAAUAGUAUAGUCAGUGAUGUAGUCAGAAUUUUCAAAUAAUGAGAUCAUAAUGUCAAUCAAAAAAGUUUUAUUGUGCCCUUUCGUUGAUCACCUCCUAGGCACUUUUCAAUUUCUAUCAACAUAUGCUGAAAAUUUAUGCCGACAUAUGUCACUAAAAUGGUAGAAGAAAAUAUAAAAAGUAGGAGGAGGAGAUUGUAAUUGCCUUAACUAUUUAUAGAAGUCAAAUACAAUAUAUAAACAAAUAUACAUUAAGUUUUUGAAGUUGUUAAAAUAAAAAAUAAAGAAAACUAAUGAAAAUGGUUUGAAAACUUUGAAUUUUAACGAUAAGAACAAAAUAAAGAGUAAAGUGAAUUGUACUAUAAUUAACUUUUUAGUGUAAAAAUAUAAUUUUUUGUUAAAAUAAACAACAUCAAGAAGUUUUCGUUAAAUUUUGUUUAAAAAUAACCAAUGAUUUCAGGUCCGCCACUGACUCAAGCUAAUGUUAAUGCUAAAAUACAGACCAUAGAAAGAAACAAGGACAUGAACGUUUAGUCAUUCAUUUUCCCACAAAUUUAUUUGACUACCCAAUUGAUUCUGUCCACAAGGAAAACCCCAUUCAAAUAAUUUCGUCAAAACCAAAAAAAUAAGAGUAAAUUGUGGUAAUGGUCUUCUAAUUUUAAUUAAAUUGAAGUAAUGAUCUCUUAACUAAAAAUUUAUUACCAUUAGUCCUUUAACUUAUCAAAACGUGUAAUUAUGAUCAUUUUCGUCAACUUCAUUAGAAUUUUAUCAAAAUAAGUUAUGUUGAAAUGACCAUUACUACAAUUGAGGUCUCUCAACUCAUCAAAACGUGUAGCUAUGAUCAUUUUCUUCAACUUCGUUAGAAUUUUGUUAAAAUGAGUUAUGCUGGAAGGAUCAUUGCUACAAUUGGGUUAAAGUUGAGGGACCAUUGAUUUAAUUAGGUUAAAGUUGAGGAAUCAUUUCUCCAGUUGAAUUAAAGUUAAGGGACCAAUGGUGAUAAAUUUUUAGUUUAGAGACCAUAGCUGAAUUUGAUGAGUUGAAGAACCAAUGGUAAUGAAUUCGUUGUUUCAAUAAUUUUUAAUUGAGGAAUCGUUGUUUCAAUAAUUUUUAAUUGAGGAAUCGUUGUUUUAAUUGAGUAUGAUCAUUUCUACAAUUUCCUGGUAAAUAAAGAAAGAAAGAAAGAAGCAGGAAGAAGACCAAGACCCAGUCGGAUUGACCAUCUACUCCUCCAGACUUCCUCCUCCAACCAAAAUCCCACCAACCCAUUUUUCCUGAACAAUCUUUCUUUCUGGUUCUCCCAUUCUCUCUCUACUUCUUCAAAGAGGAGAGAGAGAAAGAGAGAGAGGGAGAUACUGAAAGUAAAGCAACCAACCAACAAUGGCGGCAGUCACCACCAUCUCCAACUUCGCCACCUUUCACUCUCAGUUUCUCCCUUCACCAACCAACCCCCACCAUUUCUCUUUAUCCCCAAAAAACUUCACUCUCACCAUCGUCGCCCGCACUAACAUCACCGCAACUCCCUCCGUCCAACUCACCGCCUCUCGCUUCACCCGAUCCCAC
RNAcentral lists this long non-coding RNA (3262 nucleotides) under Malus domestica (apple). RNAcentral describes it as "long non-coding RNA (MDOM_LNC006439)". Lineage: Eukaryota; Viridiplantae; Streptophyta; Magnoliopsida; Rosales; Rosaceae. The record is from RNAcentral.